UAUACUUAUGUGGAACUACAUAAUUUUAAGUACAAUGUAAAUAUUGACUAAUAAUAUUAAUAUAUCAAUAAUUCUAUGUACUUUGUGCAUUACUGCUAGCCACCAUGAAUAUUAUAUA
This is a non-coding RNA of Macaca mulatta (Rhesus monkey), 118 nucleotides long. NCBI's taxonomy places the organism in Eukaryota, Metazoa, Chordata, Mammalia, Primates, Cercopithecidae. The record is from Rfam.